This 474-nucleotide ribosomal RNA is filed under the name uncultured bacterium. Its description in RNAcentral is "partial 16S ribosomal RNA". It matches the Rfam family "Bacterial small subunit ribosomal RNA", at positions 28 to 507 of the family's 1533-position model. The record is from RNAcentral.
GACGAACGCUGGCGGCGUGCUUAACACAUGCAAGUCGAGCGGUAAGGCUCCUUCGGGAGUACACGAGCGGCGAACGGGUGAGUAACACGUGAGUAAUCUGCCCUUCACUUCGGGAUAACCACCGGAACCGGUGGCUAAUACCGAAUACGACCAGUCUUCGCAUGAGGUUCUUGUGGAAAGUCUUUUCGGUGAAGGAUGUGCUCGCGGCCUAUCAGCUUGUUGGUGGGGUAAUGGCCUACCAAGGCUUCGACGGGUACCCGGCCUGAGAGGGUGACCGGCCACACUGGGACUGAGACACGGCCGAGACGCCGACGGGGGGCAGCAGUGGGGAAUAGUGGACACUGGGCGAAAGCAUGAUCCAGCAACGCCGCGUGAGGGAUGACGGUCUUCGGGUUGUAAACCUCUUGCAGUACCGACGAAGCGACCUGUCGGGUGGUGACGGUAGGUACAGAAGAAGGACCGGCCAACUACGUG